GGGGUUGUGGCUCAGUGGUAGAGCGCUCACCUGGUAUGUGUGAAGCCCUGGGUUUGAUCCUUAACACCA
Non-coding RNA from Ictidomys tridecemlineatus (thirteen-lined ground squirrel), 69 nucleotides. The record is from Rfam. NCBI's taxonomy places the organism in Eukaryota, Metazoa, Chordata, Mammalia, Rodentia, Sciuridae.